Molecule: ribosomal RNA, 248 nt
Filed under: uncultured bacterium
Lineage: Bacteria
Description: partial 16S ribosomal RNA
Rfam family: Bacterial small subunit ribosomal RNA
Source: RNAcentral
UACGGAGGGUGCAAGCGUUGUCCGGAAUCACUGGGCGUAAAGGGCGCGUAGGCGGCUCAUGAAGGCUGUGGUGAAAGUCCGGGGCUCAACCUCGGAUCGGCCGUGGCGACUCGUGGCUGGAGCACUGUAGAGGCGGGUGGAAUUCCGGGUGUAGCGGUGGAAUGCGUAGAGAUCCGGAAGAACACCAGUGGCGAAGGCGGACCCGCUGGGCAGUGGCUGACGCUGAGGCGCGACAGCGUGGGGAGCAA